This 24-nucleotide non-coding RNA is filed under the name Arabidopsis thaliana (thale cress). Lineage: Eukaryota; Viridiplantae; Streptophyta; Magnoliopsida; Brassicales; Brassicaceae. The record is from RNAcentral.
AUGCUUCUGGAUACCGCCAGCAAU